Sapajus apella (tufted capuchin) is the source of this 1060-nucleotide long non-coding RNA. RefSeq lists it as uncharacterized. The transcript has 2 exons. Lineage: Eukaryota; Metazoa; Chordata; Mammalia; Primates; Cebidae. The record is from RefSeq and is a predicted model, not a curated record.
GUGGCAAGCAGAGAAAACUUUAUAGCCAUCACUUAGGUGAAAUAUAGCAAAGUAACGAAAGCUAUGUUAUAAAAACCACGCUUGUUUUACUUUCCUUUCUCUUUGUCCUUAACUUCCUCCAGGCAGGAUUGCUUGCACAUAGUCAUUUUGGUAGUGGGUAGUCACUAAUAAGUGAUUAACUUCAUGUCCUAACCCCCAGGGGAUGCUUGCAAGAUUAAUGAGCUUGUUUUUCUUAUAAAGAACAAUGAUCCUUGGUCAUGCUGACCUCCUUGAUGGCAUGCAGAAGUUUGGCCAAGGGAUGCAAGCAGCUUUGAUAAUCAGGAGAUCUCACUUCCCACACACCUUCCUUACUCAUAAAAGCCACCAGUUAUGUGCAAAGGGAGGUUGAAUUUGAGAAUUUGCCUCUCCCACCCUCAUGCUUUGGACAAUUUGAAUAAACCUUUCUCUGCUCUGAAGCACUCAUACGUCAGUAUUUGGCUUACUGUGCAUCAGGUACCUGACGUAAGUUUUGGGGUUCUGCAACAGAUUCUGACAACAUGGCAGUAGGCCCAGCCAGGUCAGGCAAACAAGUGCCAGAAGCUGCCCAGGCUUGUUGGUUGGGGGGCCCUAAAGUAGCUCUUCUAGGUCAGUGUCAGCUGCCGUUGGUGCUCUAGAAGCUUAGAGCAGAGAAACAUCUCAGACUGCUAUCUGGACUUCCAGUUUUGGUUUGAAGGGUUUAAAGAAAGGGGUUCCUCAGGUAAAGAACCUCAAUAAGGUACAGGAAGUUCAGCAGCAAGCAUAUGAGGACUCUUCAUAAUUCAUAGAAAGAUGUCAUCAGACAUAAUGAAAAGUAGAUUGACACUAACCCUGAGGCACCCGACAAUCAGAGAAUGGUCAAUGUGACCUUAAUCAGCCAGAAGCCCUGAUAUUCAAAGAAAACUGCAAAUAGUGAGAUCCUUGGGUUACCAAUCUCAUAGUUAGUGGAGUUAGCUUUUAAAGUAUACUAUGCUCAGGACGAGGCUCAGGAAAAGUGCAAAUUGAAGCAACAAGUAACUUGCUGGCAGCUGCACUUGACUACCAA